Molecule: long non-coding RNA, 703 nt
Organism: Cannabis sativa
Lineage: Eukaryota; Viridiplantae; Streptophyta; Magnoliopsida; Rosales; Cannabaceae
Exons: 3
Source: RefSeq, a predicted model, not a curated record
AAGUGCAGAGAAAAAAAUUAAAAAAACAAAUAAUGUACUAUUCCCAAUGGUUUAGAACCGUCGGGCAAAGUAUGGGCCACGACGGUUCAAAACUGUCGGGAAUGGGUCUAGUAAAAUAAAACCCUCCUCGCUCUCAUCAAGACAUUCAGACACGCUCAAACCCUCUCGCGCCUCACUCUGUCGAUCUCAUUUUCUCGAUGGACUAUCUCUCUCUCUCUGCAGCUUUGACGAUCUCUCUCUUUCUCUGCAACUCUCUCGCACGAGCCAGCUGCAUCUAUCUUUAACAGAUUCAAAACUGUUUCUCAGGUUUGUAGGGAGUGAGCAAAGACAGAGAAAUAGGGACAACAAACGAGUUAUCGUCUCUCUCUCGAUCACUCACUCACUCGGGUCUCUCUCUCUCUCAUGGCGACGCACCUCCACCACCACUGGCGACGCACAUCCGCCACCACCAGCAACGCAUCUCCGUCGCCUCUCCACCGUCGAGAGCCACUGCGCCGCCCUCUCUCUCUUAGCUGCAAUUGGAUAAGAGCAAUCCAUACUUAAAUGACGAGAUAAAUUUUCUACGUGAUCAGUGAAUUGAAUACGUCUGAGCACAGACGGUGCGACAAAGACUAUGACAAUAUUGAUCAGUUUCUGUUUUUGUUUAUACUAUACACUAACACCAAUUACUUUCAUAUAAUUAACGAUUAAGUAAGUUAGAAUA